Molecule: ribosomal RNA, 377 nt
Filed under: Strombidium sp.
Lineage: Eukaryota; Ciliophora; Spirotrichea; Strombidiidae
Description: partial small subunit ribosomal RNA
Rfam family: Eukaryotic small subunit ribosomal RNA
Source: RNAcentral
AGCUCCAAUAGCGUAUAUUAAAGUUGUUGCAGUUAAAAAGCUCGUAGUUGGAUUUCUGGGAGGGUGCCAAUGUCCGCCGACGUGCGUGCGCAGCGGCGCCCUUCCAUCCUUCUGUUAACGCCUCUUGGCAUUCAUUUGCUGGUGGCGGGCUCAGAUAUUUUACCUUGAGAAAAUUAGAGUGUUUCAGGCAGGCUAGGCCGGAAUACAUUAGCAUGGAAUAAUGGAAUAGGACUAAGGUCUCUUUGUUGGUUUGAGGGACUGUAGUAAUGAUUAAUAGGGAUAGUUGGGGGCAUUAGUAUUUAAUUGUCAGAGGUGAAAUUCUCGGAUUUGUUAAAGACUAACUUAUGCGAAAGCAUUUGCCAAGGAUGUUUUCAUUA